Molecule: RNA transcript, 557 nt
Organism: Homo sapiens (human)
Lineage: Eukaryota; Metazoa; Chordata; Mammalia; Primates; Hominidae
Gene name: ubiquitin conjugating enzyme E2 Q2 pseudogene
Exons: 5
Source: RefSeq, marked validated
GCGUCUCUCCGGCUCCUGGCGCGGGGCUGACUCGGGGGCCGCUGGCCCCUCUUGGCCGCCGUCGCCACGCACCGAGUUUGUGUUUAAGGAGAAACUAACAAUGAAAACGGCCUCGUUGACGGAGGAAAAGUUGGAAUGCAGCCUCUGGUGCUGUUUGAGCGAUCCCUCUCCCCGGGGCCUGGCCGCGCGCUGCUGUGUUCUGGAAGGGCUCAUUGUACAGUCAAGGCGGCAGGGCCUUCUUCUGUCACCCAUGCUGGAGUGCAGUAGCAUGAUCACAGCUCACGGUAGCCUCCACCUUCUGGGCUCAAUCCUCCUACCUCAGCCUUCCAAGUAGCUGGGACUACAGUCUUGAGGAUCCAUUUUCUGAGACGGUGAUGGGAAAGAUGUUGGUUGUCAAGUGGAAUCUCAGCAGUCAUUUUCAGACAAAGUUAGAGAAAACAAGUAUGGAAGAUGCCUGAUUCUCAAAGAGUCAUCCAGUCUUGGGAUUACCGCCUACGUCCAUGGAAGUGAAAGUCCUCUUUUUCUUUGUACCACUUACUGAGCCUUGCAUCCCAGGG